CUGUGACUCUUAACAUCUUCGAGGUUUGCAAAUACGUUGUCUUUAUUUGCUCCUUUGUAAAAUCUUUUUAGAAAAAAAAAACAGUUCACAUCAGAAAUAUACCACCAAAACUAGUCAAAUAUAUAUAUAUGUAUACCAACCUGGAAGAUCAAUGGUGAGAAGAGUGGCUUCAGGUUGAUCUUUCCAUUCAGAUUUGGGGACAAAAUCCUCAUGCUGAACACCUAAGCCUGUUCCUCUCGGCUGCUGUCUUGCUGCCAUUAAUUAAAUUUUGCUUUUUCUUUCUGAACUGGUUGUUUUUGUCUGAGCUUUGAGAAUAUCCAAUAUGGUUUAUUGCUCUGAAUAUAUUUUAAAAAAACCUCAAUCUACGCAAUGCUUAGCCCUUUUCUCUUGCAUUAUGCAAUUGAUAUUCCUAGUUUUGAGGCAAAAAAUAUCUUCUUUCGUCUCAAGUCAUCCAUCAUAUGUUUAUCCUCUUACAAAGAAAGCAUAAUAUGUUUUGCUUUUUCUCUACAAAUUUUAUACCUUGUGUUCCCCCAAUGAACUCAGUUAAGGAGAUGUACCAUUAGUGUCCAGUUCCACAACGUUUCCAAUAUAAAGAUUGUGUAGUUAUAGAGAGCUUGAGUUUCAAUAGAAGAAACUUUCCAGUUUAAAACAUCCAAAAAUGUUCCAGGUUGCAAUAACACACACAUUACAUGACACAUUGAUUGAUUGGUGCCUAAGAAAAUUCAGCAGUGUUGGAGAAAUUGAAAUAAUGCCAUUAGGACGAGCAAAGCUUCUAAAAACCAGUAGUUUCAACACAAGAACAAAGUCAAACAUACACAAAAAAAAAAGACAAAUGAUGAGACACAAAACCAAACAAAAGACUUUUGGAGUAAAAAGACAAAGGAUCAUAGACUGAUUCUGACAUAAUCGACUCCUCCUCGGCUCCUCCUAGAUGUUUCUUCCUUGACUUGUUCUGUUUUUGCAACAUUACAACUGGAACGUAAAACAGGAUGAGGAGUUGAAGAAGCGGAGUGUGUAGGAAUAUCAACUUUCUUGACAUUCUUAUUAUUCCUAUCAGACUGUACUAAGAGAAGAUGGAUAUUAAUAUUCUCCCUUUUUCCUCAGAGCUUGAAGAACUGUUAUUUGAGACUAACGUCAAAAGCUAAAUGGUACAUCUCUGCUGCGCAAACGACGACUGGUCAGUGCCCACAGAAGAAUGUCUUCAACCAUCAUUUUUUAGCCCUCACAGCCUCUCAGGGUUGGAGGAAAUAGCAUUAGUGAUCAUCGUUUCCGAGUCGAACGGAGAGAUCUGUCUGGUGAGAGUUGAAAGAUGGUGGCUGAGUGAAGAAUAAGGAGAAGAAGAAAGUAGAGAGAAAGUGGUACUAUAGAAAAAUUGUUUUUUUUUGUUUUUAAACAGUGGAAAGUAUGUGAUUGCAAAUUACCGGGGUGAUUGGUAGAGGCCGUGACUUUCUGUUUUUUGUUCUAAGAUUUAGGUUCUAGAUUUUUAGCUUUAUCUUUAAUUUAUUUUGUUGUAGAAAUUUUUCAGAGCACUGUAUAAAAUCUCUAGAGAAAGUGUUUUCUAAAGCUA
This 1567-nucleotide long non-coding RNA is filed under the name Brassica napus (rape). Its description in RNAcentral is "long non-coding RNA (BNAP_LNC024735)". The record is from RNAcentral. Lineage: Eukaryota; Viridiplantae; Streptophyta; Magnoliopsida; Brassicales; Brassicaceae.